CCUAUGCAACUGACGGCUGCUCAUUUAGGAUCCCUAGGUCUGAAAAUUCUAGUGCAAUGGUGGGGUCCACCCAUUUUAAAACCCUAGGACCAUGUCACCAUUUUUUUACAAUUUGGGCUUUUGUCUAAUCUACCAAAAUUAGUCCAAAAUACAAAACUUAGUUUAAAAAGCCUAAUCUACAAAAUUAAAAUUUUACUAAUCCUCUAGUGUCUUUGUGGAGAGUCUUCACUUAAUUGGUGCCC
RNAcentral lists this long non-coding RNA (242 nucleotides) under Vigna radiata. RNAcentral describes it as "long non-coding RNA (VRAD_LNC013803)". Lineage: Eukaryota; Viridiplantae; Streptophyta; Magnoliopsida; Fabales; Fabaceae. The record is from RNAcentral.